UCUGCUUACAGCUGCAGUCUUGAUUCUGUCUUUCUUUUCAGCAGGUAUCAAGCAGUAAUCAGAUACUUGCCUUUAGUAACGAGUUACGUUUGAAACAGGUUAAAAAAUCUUCGGCACAAUCAGUGAAGUAAGAUAAAAAAAAAAAUACGAGGAAAGCUGUGUUGAUGUUCAUGUUUCAAUCCUCAUUUUCCUUCACACACUAAAAAUGGCGUAAUAUCAACAGUCAAACAAAAACAAAAAAACGAACGAUGAGUUUUCUGGGUCAAAAGAACUGUCAGACAUGUUGCAGCUUCCGAAGAUGCUCCAACAAUGUAGUAGCCUUCCUCUUGGCCCUUUCUGUCCCACUUUUGGCAAUCUCCGAAAGAGGUAUUAGUGCACCGAGCCUACUUAGACAAGCAAGAUUUUCACCAUCUCUUUUACACAAGUAAAGUGGAAGCUGCGUUCCUCCUUAUUCCGUGGGAGACCCGUUCGCAAUAGAUCUAUCAAGAAAGGUAUUGUGCUAGCUUUCAUUACGUCGGCCUUUGCUUCCUGGUGGCUAGCACCCUAGCAAGAACCGAAAGGAUGGUCAGAUAUUCAUCGACCAUACUGCUGCCUGAAUCGGUGAGCAUCUUUAAUGGGCAGUAAUAAUGGCUGCCCUAACAGCCCGACACUUUUUUUUCCCGGAUAAAUGCACAAGUUGAAUAAUGCAGUUGCAGCGUCUUUCUUCCCU
RNAcentral lists this long non-coding RNA (709 nucleotides) under Olea europaea subsp. europaea. Lineage: Eukaryota; Viridiplantae; Streptophyta; Magnoliopsida; Lamiales; Oleaceae. The record is from RNAcentral.